RNAcentral lists this ribosomal RNA (342 nucleotides) under uncultured bacterium. RNAcentral describes it as "bacterial SSU rRNA". It matches the Rfam family "Bacterial small subunit ribosomal RNA", at positions 1 to 334 of the family's 1533-position model. The record is from RNAcentral.
CGCACUAGUUAGAGUUUGAUCCUGGCUCAGAGUGAACGCUGGCGGUAGGCCUAACACAUGCAAGUCGAACGGCAGCACAGUAAGAGCUUGCUCUUACGGGUGGCGAGUGGCGGACGGGUGAGGAAUACAUCGGAAUCUACCUUUUCGUGGGGGAUAACGUAGGGAAACUUACGCUAAUACCGCAUACGACCUUCGGGUGAAAGCAGGGGACCUUCGGGCCUCGCGCGGAUAGAUGAGCCGAUGUCGGAUUAGCUAGUUGGCGGGGUAAAGGCCCACCAAGGCGACGAUCCGUAGCUGGUCUGAGAGGAUGAUCAGCCACACUGGAACUGAGACACGGUCCAG